GAAGAUUCACCUGGUAAAAUGGGAGAAGACAGGCAAACUGAACCUGAGCACAGCCUGAGUGAGUUUCAUUCUCAAAUUCAGUAUAAAGAUUAAAGAAGAGAAUCCCCUUCAUGUCCUCUGAUCUCCACACUUCAUGCCUGUAGUGCCCAAUAAUAAACAAACAAACAAGCAUUAAGUAUCUUCCAUGAGGGCUAGCGAGAUGCUUUAGUGAUUAAGAACACGUACUGUUCUUGCAGAAGACCAGACUUUAGGUUCUAUCAUCUCAUCAGAUGGCUCACAACUGUGAAAGUGGAAGGAAGCCUCAAAGCAACAUCUGAGUUUGUCUUCUGACCUCCACAUCUGCCUGCUGUGUGCACAUCCACCUAUUGUUGGGAUGACAUUCCUUACUUGGUAUGAAGGUAUCUCUGGAUAAAAUGGCUAAGGGUCCUGGAAUGCCUACUGCACAACCAAUGUGUUAGCCAGUGUUACAGCCUGGUACAUCUAUCAAGAAACCCAUGUCCCAGAUGGAGGUAGAUGCAUGGAGCUUUCACAGGGCAGACGGGGGAGAGGCCCUUAACAAUAAGCAACAGACACUGUUUAAAUUUGGCAUUUAACUCAGCCAAGAACAUAUGUACAUAAAGUUUAUCCCAGCCAGAUUAAACUCCUGAAGUCCUGCGGCACCAGUGCUCAGCAAGAUUGAUCACUGACUGAAACUUAGUUACUGACAUUGAAGAAGAACGAAGCAACAUGGAAUAAGCACUGAAGAAUCUAAUGGAUUUCAUACUUUGUUCUUUUCCUCAUGUUCCUGGGGAUGGAAUUCAAGCCUCAGGUUUAUGGUCUGUAACGACUGCUCUCAUCCAUCCUGGCAAGCUACCAUUCUCCAUGCAGCUUCACAGGAAAUUGGAACUUUGGAGAAUUACUCCAAGAAAGCCAUAAAAUAUGAAGAGCUGUAAAGGUACUAGGAAAUGUUCCUUUGACUCAAACUGCACACUAUUGACUGGAUAUGCUCAGAGAUGACCUGGAAUAGACUGACUCUGUGCAGAGAGACAGAGAGAGAGAGACAAGAGGAGCCCUCAGUCAUCCAGGUGCAUUUGCUUAUAUGAAUCCAGCCUAAUGGAAGAGGACCCAGUUCUUCCCUGAGGAAGAAGAGCUCCUCCUCAUUGUGAGCAUAACAAAAAUCCGGGCCUCCUUUCUGGAGAGAAAUGAUGAUAUGAGUUACGUGAUGCUCCUCUCCAACCUGCCAAGAGGAAACAACUUGUCACAAUUCUUAGAGGUCUCAGACCCCUUCUUUUACAACACACAUGAAGCCCAGCCCAUACCAGUGAUUGUA
Molecule: long non-coding RNA, 1309 nt
Organism: Mus musculus (house mouse)
Lineage: Eukaryota; Metazoa; Chordata; Mammalia; Rodentia; Muridae
Product: predicted gene, 33898
Exons: 6
Source: RefSeq, a predicted model, not a curated record